CGUUUAAAUCUGUUGUCUUUUAAUUUAUUCAUUAAUUUAUUUAGUUCGUCAGGGGUGGAAUGAGAACCUUGAGUUAGUAGGUGUGUGUGUGUGUGACAACCAUCGUCUUACUAUUUGUUUCGUGUGUCGGUGCCGUGAAGCAAUUGAAGCACCGUCUGGGGGUUCACAUGUUGCUUGAGUCUCAGGUGACGAGAGGCAUUGUGGAACCGCGGCCCGUAUUCUCAAACGCUCUGCUCUCUCACCAUGAUAAUGUCAAAGGCCACAGAGACGAUUUGGCGGGUGCUCAAGACAGUUUCCUCUCUCAUAAAGUGGAAAUCUUGUCAGUCUGUCACCGGAACUGUAAACACACCCUUAAAAACCCGUGUAACUUCAACUAGACCCUUUUUAAAGUAGUAGAGGUGCGGCGCGGAAGUGCUUUAGGUCAGCCGAGGUGGAGCGGACUAGAAGACCGGUCGGUCACUCGUGCGAAGCCCUCCAGGCGCCUGCUGUGUGCUGACGGAGGGAAUAUAGUGUUCCAGUCUAAGUUGUUCUAGUGGCGGUGUUACUUUUGAGGUGGUGCCGUCGCUAGCAAGGGCACCAAUCCAUGGCCGGUGUGGAGAAUACUGCGUUAUCACUGCCUCUGUAUGAUGUAUUCCACUCAUAAACGAAAACUAUAAGGGACGAAGUGAGUGGGCGUGGAACCCCUCUUUCCCUCCCUAUUCUUGUACAUCUGCUGUAAUGAAAGGACAAAAGUAGCAGACCAGAUGAAGAGAUGCAAGUGAGGCAGUGGAGUAUGUGGACAGGAACAAAAACAAGGUGUUUCCAGUGCUGCUGAGGGAGUUUGUAAGGAAAUGGAUAUUGUUAACACACCAUUGAGAUAAUCUUCCCACACCAGAACAGAGUGAAGGAGGGAGGGAGGUUAGUGCCAAGAGGAGGAGCAGACAAGAGGCUUUGGAGAGAGAGACGUUAGCCUGGCUGGGCGUUGUCAGGUUAAGUGAGGCUGUGGCGGCAUUACCAGGCAUGAGGUAGGCCAUGUUCUUAGCAUCCUCACGCUCCCGCUCGCUC
Scylla paramamosain (green mud crab) is the source of this 1044-nucleotide long non-coding RNA. RefSeq lists it as uncharacterized. The transcript has 4 exons. NCBI's taxonomy places the organism in Eukaryota, Metazoa, Arthropoda, Malacostraca, Decapoda, Portunidae. The record is from RefSeq and is a predicted model, not a curated record.